RNAcentral lists this unclassified non-coding RNA (542 nucleotides) under Hevea brasiliensis (rubber tree). The record is from RNAcentral. Lineage: Eukaryota; Viridiplantae; Streptophyta; Magnoliopsida; Malpighiales; Euphorbiaceae.
AUUUAUUUUUUGUCCCAUAAUCCCUCACUAUUUACUAUACAUGUAAUGAAAUGUCAUAUCCGUGGAUUUCAUUUUUUUAUCCAAGUUUCUCACUUUUCAUCCUUUUUCUAAUCUUAAUACUUUCAUUUAUUUCAAUUAUUACUUAAUAAUUCUUUCUUUGAUCUCUUAUUCCAACCCCAGAAAGCAUCUUCACGCCAAGUGUGACAGGGUCAACUAUGUCCGCCCAGUGUUCUUCGAGCAUCCACCUGAAGUCCCAACACUUGCAAGCAGAGCUCUCACUCUCAAGUCUAAGACUCAAAAGCCUCAUUUGAAUAAUGACGCCAUCUAUAUGAUCAGAGGCCUUUUCAUGAGCGCUGGUUCACAAUUCUAUGGCUCGAAUCUUUAGAAUAAUCUUAUUUAUUACCUAUGUCUACUCUUUAGGUAGAAUACCAUUAUCCAUUUUUACUAAGAAAUUGAAAGAAACCUAAGAGGGUGUAUGUGUGUUACCUCUCUAAUAUAAUCAUAGCUCAAACAGAAAAAAUUAUAAGAUAUGAAACAUUUUA